UCCUGGCUGUAAACGAUGGGCACUACGUAGUGGGGCCUCUGACGGUUUCACUGCCGGAACUAACGCAUUAAGUGCCCCGCCUGGGGACUACGGCCGCAAGGCUAAAACUCAAGGUAAUUGACGGGGGCUCACACAAGCGGUGGAGCAUGUUGCGUAAUCGAGGCAACGCGAAGAACCUUACCAGGGCUUGACAUGCACGGAUUAGGCCGUCGAAAGGCGGCUGACACCCUCUG
Molecule: ribosomal RNA, 233 nt
Filed under: uncultured bacterium
Lineage: Bacteria
Description: partial 16S ribosomal RNA
Rfam family: Bacterial small subunit ribosomal RNA
Source: RNAcentral